GAUGAAGAACGUAGUGAAAUGCGAUAAUUAAUGUGAAUUGCAGAAUUCCGUGAAUCAUCGAGUCUUUGAACGCACAUUGCGCCUCAUGGCAUUCCGUGAGGCAUGCCCAUCUCAGCGUUAGAAAAUAUUCUCAAAUUUUAGUUUUGUGCUAAAAUUUGGAUCAUGUCAAGGAAGCUAUUACUAUUAUUGUGAUCGCUCUUUGGAAAUUGGUAGGUCUUUGAGUUGCUACUCAUAGAACGUGAUGAAUCUUUCUUCGUUCUAUUGUAAUUCACUCUGGUAGUCCUAAAACUUGUAUGCCUGUGGCAUAUCUUGUAAUUUGACCUGAGAUUGGGUAGGGAUACCCGCUGAACUUAAGCAUAUCAAUAAGCGGAGGA
Molecule: unclassified non-coding RNA, 374 nt
Filed under: soil metagenome
Description: partial contains internal transcribed spacer 2 and large subunit ribosomal RNA
Rfam family: 5.8S ribosomal RNA (bases 1-120)
Source: RNAcentral